UACAGAGGGUGCGAGCGUUAAUCGGAGUUACUGGGCGUAAAGCGUGCGUAGGCGGUGUUGUAAGUUUGGUGUGAAAUCUCCCGGCUCAACUGGGAGGGUGCGCCGAAAACUGCAAGGCUGGAGUAUGGGAGAGGUAGGCGGAAUUCCUGGUGUAGCGGUGAAAUGCGUAGAUAUCAGGAGGAACACCAGUGGUGUAGACGGCUUACUGGACCAUGACUGACGCUGAGGCACGAAAGCGUGGGGAGCAAACAGG
Molecule: ribosomal RNA, 253 nt
Filed under: uncultured bacterium
Lineage: Bacteria
Description: partial 16S ribosomal RNA
Rfam family: Bacterial small subunit ribosomal RNA
Source: RNAcentral